This 281-nucleotide long non-coding RNA is filed under the name Panax ginseng (ginseng). Its description in RNAcentral is "long non-coding RNA (PGIN_LNC012713)". Lineage: Eukaryota; Viridiplantae; Streptophyta; Magnoliopsida; Apiales; Araliaceae. The record is from RNAcentral.
UGAUGGUUUUAAAUUUGUCCAUCAACAACGUUCUUCGUGUUCUUCGUUCGUUCUUCAUGUUAAUCGAUAUUAUGGAUUAUGAUUUCACUUUUUAUUGGAAUUUGAUGUUAUAAAACAUCAUUCCUUACUUAUUUCACCUACUUAUUCAUAUAAUCCACUCGGAUCAUUCUAAUUCAUUACGAAUAUUAUACUUUCUUAAGAAAUUUAUUUACUAAACUUUAAAUUCUUAUUUCUUCAUUCUCUUAUGAUUUCAACUAUAUGAACUCAUCUCUCACCUUAUC